RNAcentral lists this transfer RNA (74 nucleotides) under Dipodomys ordii (Ord's kangaroo rat). It matches the Rfam family "tRNA". From Rfam's summary of the family: Transfer RNA (tRNA) molecules are approximately 80 nucleotides in length. Their secondary structure includes four short double-helical elements and three loops (D, anti-codon, and T loops). Further hydrogen bonds mediate the characteristic L-shaped molecular structure. tRNAs have two regions of fundamental functional importance: the anti-codon, which is responsible for specific mRNA codon recognition, and the 3' end, to which the tRNAs corresponding amino acid is attached (by aminoacyl-tRNA synthetases). tRNAs cope with the degeneracy of the genetic code in two manners: having more than one tRNA (with a specific anti-codon) for a particular amino acid; and 'wobble' base-pairing, i.e. permitting non-standard base-pairing at the 3rd anti-codon position. The record is from Rfam by way of RNAcentral. Lineage: Eukaryota; Metazoa; Chordata; Mammalia; Rodentia; Heteromyidae.
GAAAAUGUGGCUCAAGUAGUAGAGCACCUGCCUAGCAAGCAGGAGGCCCUUAAGUUCAAACCUCAAUAGAGCCA